RNAcentral lists this ribosomal RNA (468 nucleotides) under uncultured bacterium. RNAcentral's name for it is "partial 16S ribosomal RNA". It matches the Rfam family "Bacterial small subunit ribosomal RNA", at positions 28 to 507 of the family's 1533-position model. The record is from RNAcentral.
GACGAACGCUGGCGGCGUGCUUAACACAUGCAAGUCGAACGGUGAUGCUCCAGCUUGCUGGAGUGGAUCAGUGGCGAACGGGUGAGUAACACGUGAGCAACCUGCCCCAGACUCUGGAAUAAGCGCUGGAAACGGCGUCUAAUACUGGAUACGAAACUGGCCCGCAUGGGCAUGGUUUGGAAAGUUUUUCGGUUUGGGAUGGGCUCGCGGCCUAUCAGCUUGUUGGUGAGGUAAUGGCUCACCAAGGCGACGACGGGUAGCCGGCCUGAGAGGGCGACCGGCCACACUGGGACUGAGACACGGCCCAGACUCCUACGGGAGGCAGCAGUGGGGAAUAUUGCACAAUGGGCGCAAGCCUGAUGCAGCGACGCCGCGUGAGGGAUGACGGCCUUCGGGUUGUAAACCUCUUUCAGCAGGGAAGAAGCGAAAGUGACGGUACCUGCAGAAGAAGCACCGGCUAACUACGUG